RNAcentral lists this ribosomal RNA (433 nucleotides) under uncultured bacterium. RNAcentral describes it as "partial 16S ribosomal RNA". It matches the Rfam family "Bacterial small subunit ribosomal RNA", at positions 29 to 507 of the family's 1533-position model. The record is from RNAcentral.
AACGAACGCUGGCGGCAUGCCUAACACAUGCAAGUCGAACGAGACCUUCGGGUCUAGUGGCGCACGGGUGCGUAACGCGUGGGAACCUGCCCUUAGGUUCGGAAUAACUCCCCGAAAGGGGUGCUAAUACCGGAUAAUGUCUUCGGACCAAAGAUUUAUCGCCUUUGGAUGGGCCCGCGUUGGAUUAGCUAGUUGGUAGGGUAAAAGCCUACCAAGGCGACGAUCCAUAGCUGGUCUGAGAGGAUGAUCAGCCACACUGGGACUGAGACACGGCCCAGACUCCUACGGGAGGCAGCAGUGGGGAAUAUUGGACAAUGGGCGAAAGCCUGAUCCAGCAAUGCCGCGUUAGUGAUGAAGGCCUUAGGGUUGUAAAGCUCUUUUACCCGGGAUGAUAAUGACAGUACCGGGAGAAUAAGCUCCGGCUAACUCCGUG